This 253-nucleotide ribosomal RNA is filed under the name uncultured bacterium. RNAcentral's name for it is "partial 16S ribosomal RNA". It matches the Rfam family "Bacterial small subunit ribosomal RNA", at positions 524 to 776 of the family's 1533-position model. The record is from RNAcentral.
UACGUAGGGGGCGAGCGUUGUCCGGAUUUACUGGGCGUAAAGGGCGCGCAGGCGGCUAUCCAAGUCAGGCGUGAAAGCCCCGGGCUUAACCUGGGAGGUGCGUCUGGGACCGGGUGGCUAGAGUUCGGGAGAGGAGAGUGGAAUUCCCAGUGUAGAGGUGAAAUUCGUAGAUAUUGGGAAGAACACCGGUGGCGAAGGCGGCUCUCUGGACCGAGACUGACGCUGAGGCGCGAAAGCGUGGGGAGCAAACAGG